This 403-nucleotide ribosomal RNA is filed under the name Bacteroidota bacterium. RNAcentral's name for it is "Bacteroidetes bacterium partial 16S ribosomal RNA". It matches the Rfam family "Bacterial small subunit ribosomal RNA", at positions 355 to 776 of the family's 1533-position model. The record is from RNAcentral. Lineage: Bacteria; Pseudomonadati; Bacteroidota.
UGGGGAAUAUUGCACAAUGGAGGGAACUCUGAUGCAGCGACGCCGCGUGAACGAAGAAGGCUUUCGAGUCGUAAAGUUCUUUUAUAUGGGAAGAUAAUGACGGUACCAUAAGAAAAAGCCCCGGCUAACUACGUGCCAGCAGCCGCGGUAAUACGUAGGGGGCUAGCGUUGUCCGGAAUCACUGGGCGUAAAGGGUACGUAGGCGGGUAAGCAAGUUAGAAGUGAAAUCCUGUAGCUCAACUACAGUAAGCUUUUAAAACUGCUCAUCUUGAGAUAUGGAAGGGAAAGUGGAAUUCCUAGUGUAGCGGUGAAAUGCGCAGAUAUUAGGAGGAAUACCGGUGGCGAAGGCGACUUUCUGGCCAUAAUCUGACGCUGAGGUACGAAAGCGUGGGUAGCAAACAGG